CAGGAGAAACACAGGAGAAGAGGGAGAACACAAUACUUUCUCACAAAUAUCCCUUCAGUAGAGGUGUUUGCUAGUUGAAGCUAAUGCUAGUCUGAGGAGCUCCGUGGGGAAGAGGCAGAGGAGGAAGGCUCAGCUGGAGACUGCAGCUCUGAGGAGGAGCUUUGUGGAAAAGGCAGUGCUUGGAUGAAUACAGUCAAGGCUUGUACCACAACUGCUGUACCACAAGUGCUUUGAUACCAUUUAGUGGUCACAC
Molecule: long non-coding RNA, 253 nt
Organism: Poeciliopsis prolifica (blackstripe livebearer)
Lineage: Eukaryota; Metazoa; Chordata; Actinopteri; Cyprinodontiformes; Poeciliidae
Exons: 3
Source: RefSeq, a predicted model, not a curated record